GUCAAUUAAAUAAACUGACUAUUUAACAGGAUACACAAUGUCAUUAAAAUACGUAACUAAUUUAUCAACCUAUUAAUAAAAAAAAUUAAGAAAUUAUUCGUUUGGAUAUUAGUAUAAAUGGAGGAGUUGGGGGGUGACGCUGCUUCAGUGGCAUUACAUGUACAACAACGUGCGAAUGAGGCAUGGACUGGCGCAUUUAAGGUUUCCGUCAACUCUCAAUUCGGUUUCCGUCUGAAAUUUUGUGCCAUUCACAUAGUUAACUCCUUCCGUAGAUUUUUCCUCUUGUUCGAUCGUCUCAACCUCUUCGGUAAAAUGAACCGCUUUCUUACCCACAAGUAGACUGUGAACCAAAUUGAUCUUAGCAUUAACCUCCGCAAAUUGGUUGCAUGUGAUCGUGCCUGCUAGCUUCUUUCUAUCGAAUUCUGUGUUCUUCGUACCGUUUCUUAGAGUAAGUUCUCAAUCAAAGCUAUAAAAUCUUCAGGGAAAUGUGUGUUGAAGUUCUCGUUGCUUGCAGCAUCUAGAGCAAUUUGGUAUCGCUUACAAGGUUCAUAUAUGUUCUCACAUGAGAUUUAUGUAUCUCUUCAUAAGUUAGUUUUCCUGGUUUUUAUAAUCUAAUAGUUUUUUAUAAGAUUGGUUUCUUGUUUAACUUUUCUUUGUUUGUUUUGUUUUGUAUGAGUAUUCGUGAUCUUUCUCUAUGUGAUGUUAUCGUUUGUUUCGGUUAUUCACUUAUACGAUAUAAUCCCUUUUAUCUA
Long non-coding RNA from Arabidopsis lyrata subsp. lyrata, 752 nucleotides. RefSeq lists it as uncharacterized. The record is from RefSeq and is a predicted model, not a curated record. Lineage: Eukaryota; Viridiplantae; Streptophyta; Magnoliopsida; Brassicales; Brassicaceae. The transcript has 2 exons.